This 382-nucleotide ribosomal RNA is filed under the name uncultured bacterium. Its description in RNAcentral is "bacterial SSU rRNA". It matches the Rfam family "Bacterial small subunit ribosomal RNA", at positions 139 to 507 of the family's 1533-position model. The record is from RNAcentral.
GGGGAUAACACCUGGAAACAGAUGCUAAUACCGCAUAACAACUUGGACCGCAUGGUCCGAGCUUGAAAGAUGGCUUCGGCUAUCACUUUUGGAUGGUCCCGCGGCGUAUUAGCUAGAUGGUGGGGUAACGGCUCACCAUGGCAAUGAUACGUAGCCGACCUGAGAGGGUAAUCGGCCACAUUGGGACUGAGACACGGCCCAAACUCCUACGGGAGGCAGCAGUAGGGAAUCUUCCACAAUGGACGAAAGUCUGAUGGAGCAACGCCGCGUGAGUGAAGAAGGGUUUCGGCUCGUAAAACUCUGUUGUUAAAGAAGAACAUAUCUGAGAGUAACUGUUCAGGUAUUGACGGUAUUUAACCAGAAAGCCACGGCUAACUACGUG